UAGGCCUAUGAAAAAUAUUUCUAACCCAAAUUUGCACUUUGGGUACUUUUAGGCCUG
Molecule: transfer RNA, 57 nt
Filed under: Paralaudakia microlepis
Lineage: Eukaryota; Metazoa; Chordata; Lepidosauria; Squamata; Agamidae
Description: tRNA-Cys
Source: RNAcentral